UGCAAGUCGAACGGCAGCACAGGAGAGCUUGCUCUCUGGGUGGCGAGUGGCGGACGGGUGAGGAAUACAUCGGAAUCUACUUUUUCGUGGGGGAUAACGUAGGGAAACUUACGCUAAUACCGCAUACGACCUACGGGUGAAAGCCGGGGACCUUCGGGCCUGGCGCGGAUAAAUGAGCCGAUGUCCGAUUAGCUAGUUGGCGGGGUAAGAGCCCACCAAGGCGACGAUCGGUAGCUGGUCUGAGAGGAUGAUCAGCCACACUGGAACUGAGACACGGUCCAGACUCCUACGGGAGGCAGCAGUGGGGAAUAUUGGACAAUGGGCGCAAGCCUGAUCCAGCCAUACCGCGUGGGUGAAGAAGGCCUUCGGGUUGUAAAGCCCUUUUGUUGGGAAAGAAAAGCAGCCAGUUAAUACCUGGUUGUUCUGACGGUACCCAAAGAAUAAGCACCGGCUAACUUCGUGCCAGCAGCCGCGGUAAUACGAAGGGUGCAAGCGUUACUCGGAAUUACUGGGCGUAAAGCGUGCGUAGGUGGUUGUUUAAGUCUGUCGUGAAAGCCCUGGGCUCAACCUGGGAAUUGCGAUGGAAACUGGGCAACUAGAGUGUGGCAGAGGAUAGUGGAAUUCCUGGUGUAGCAGUGAAAUGCGUAGAGAUCAGGAGGAACAUCCGUGGCGAAGGCGACUGUCUGGGCCAACACUGACACUGAGGCACGAAAGCGUGGGGAGCAAACAGGAUUAGAUAC
This 740-nucleotide ribosomal RNA is filed under the name Stenotrophomonas humi. Its description in RNAcentral is "bacterial SSU rRNA". It matches the Rfam family "Bacterial small subunit ribosomal RNA", at positions 56 to 785 of the family's 1533-position model. Lineage: Bacteria; Pseudomonadati; Pseudomonadota; Gammaproteobacteria; Lysobacterales; Lysobacteraceae. The record is from RNAcentral.